Molecule: ribosomal RNA, 468 nt
Filed under: uncultured bacterium
Lineage: Bacteria
Description: partial 16S ribosomal RNA
Rfam family: Bacterial small subunit ribosomal RNA
Source: RNAcentral
GACGAACGCUGGCGGCGUGCUUAACACAUGCAAGUCGAACGGAAAGGCCCUGCUUUUGUGGGGUGCUCGAGUGGCGAACGGGUGAGUAACACGUGAGUAACCUGCCCUUGACUUUGGGAUAACUUCAGGAAACUGGGGCUAAUACCGGAUAGGAGCUCCUGCUGCAUGGUGGGGGUUGGAAAGUUUCGGCGGUUGGGGAUGGACUCGCGGCUUAUCAGCUUGUUGGUGGGGUAGUGGCUUACCAAGGCUUUGACGGGUAGCCGGCCUGAGAGGGUGACCGGCCACAUUGGGACUGAGAUACGGCACAGACUCCUACGGGAGGCAGCAGUGGGGAAUAUUGCACAAUGGGCGGAAGCCUGAUGCAGCAACGCCGCGUGCGGGAUGAAGGCCUUCGGGUUGUAAACCGCUUUCGCCUGUGACGAAGCGUGAGUGACGGUAAUGGGUAAAGAAGCACCGGCUAACUACGUG